This 396-nucleotide ribosomal RNA is filed under the name uncultured bacterium. Its description in RNAcentral is "bacterial SSU rRNA". It matches the Rfam family "Bacterial small subunit ribosomal RNA", at positions 30 to 428 of the family's 1533-position model. The record is from RNAcentral.
AUUGAACGCUGGCGGCAUGCCUAACACAUGCAAGUCGAACGGUAACAGGCCUUCGGGCGCUGACGAGUGGCGGACGGGUGAGUAAUACGUAGGAAUCUGCCUUUUAGUGGGGGAUAACUCGGAGAAAUCCGGGCUAAUACCGCAUACGCACUACGGUGGAAAGCAGGGGAUCGCAAGACCUUGCGCUAAUAGAUGAGCCUACGUCGGAUUAGCUUGUUGGUAGGGGUAAUGGCCACCAAGGCGACGAUCCGUAGCUGGUCUGAGAGGACGACCAGCCACACUGGGACUGAGACACGGCCCAGACUCCUACGGGAGGCAGCAGUGGGGGAAUAUUGGACAAUGGGGGCGAACCCUGAUCCAGCAAUGCCGCGUGUGUGAAGAAGGCCUCGGUUGUAA